UAUCUGGUUGAUCCUGCCAGUAUUAUAUGCUGAUGUUAAAGAUUAAGCCAUGCAUGUGUAAGUAUAAAGACCAAGUAGGAUGAAACUGCGGACGGCUCAUUAUAACAGUAAUAGUUUCUUUGGUUAGUAAAAUACAAGGAUAGCUUUGUGAAUGAUAAAGAUAAUACUUGAGACGAUCCAGUUUGUAUUAGUACAAAAUGGCCAAUUCAUUCAAUGAAUUGAGAAAUGACAUUCUAAGUGAGUUAGGAUGCCACGACAAUUGUAGAACACACAGUGUUUAACAAGUAACCAAUGAGAAUUUCUGAUCUAUCAAUCAGUUGGUAGUAUCGAGGACUACCAAGAUUAUAACGGAUAACGAGGAAUUGGGGUUCGACAUCGGAGAGGGAGCUUUACAGAUGGCUACCACUUCUAAGGAAGGCAGCAGGCGCGUAAAUUACCCACUUUCGAAUUGAAGAGGUAGUGACGACACAUAACUCUAGAGUUGAGUAAAAUCAAG
RNAcentral lists this ribosomal RNA (496 nucleotides) under Entamoeba histolytica. Its description in RNAcentral is "SSU rRNA". It matches the Rfam family "Eukaryotic small subunit ribosomal RNA", at positions 1 to 503 of the family's 1831-position model. The record is from RNAcentral. Lineage: Eukaryota; Evosea; Mastigamoebida; Endamoebidae.